GAUGAACGCUGGCGGCGUGCCUAAUACAUGCAAGUCGAGCGAACAGACGAGGAGCUUGCUCCUCUGACGUUAGCGGCGGACGGGUGAGUAACACGUGGAUAACCUACCUAUAAGACUGGGAUAACUUCGGGAAACCGGAGCUAAUACCGGAUAAUAUAUUGAACCGCAUGGUUCAAUAGUGAAAGACGGUUUUGCUGUCACUUAUAGAUGGAUCCGCGCCGCAUUAGCUAGUUGGUAAGGUAACGGCUUACCAAGGCAACGAUGCGUAGCCGACCUGAGAGGGUGAUCGGCCACACUGGAACUGAGACACGGUCCAGACUCCUACAGGAGGCAGCAGUAGGGAAUCUUCCGCAAUGGGCAAAAGCCUGACGGAGCAACGCCGCGUGAGUGAUGAAGGUCUUCGGAUCGUAAAACUCUGUUAUUAGGGCAGAACAAAUGUGUAAGUAACUAUGCACGUCUUGACGGUACCUAAUCAGAAAGCCACGGCUAACUACGUG
RNAcentral lists this ribosomal RNA (497 nucleotides) under uncultured bacterium. RNAcentral describes it as "partial 16S ribosomal RNA". It matches the Rfam family "Bacterial small subunit ribosomal RNA", at positions 28 to 507 of the family's 1533-position model. The record is from RNAcentral.